UACGGAGGAUCCGAGCGUUAUCCGGAUUUAUUGGGUUUAAAGGGAGCGUAGGCGGGUUGUUAAGUCAGUUGUGAAAGUUUGCGGCUCAGCCGUAAAAUUGCAGUUGAUACUGGCAUCCUUGAGUACAGUAGAGGUAGGCGGAAUUCGUGGUGUAGCGGUGAAGUGCUUAGAUAUCACGAAGAACUCCGAUUGCGAAGGCAGCCUGCUGGACUGUAACUGACGCUGAUGCUCGAAAGUGUGGGUAUCAAACAGG
RNAcentral lists this ribosomal RNA (253 nucleotides) under uncultured bacterium. Its description in RNAcentral is "partial 16S ribosomal RNA". It matches the Rfam family "Bacterial small subunit ribosomal RNA", at positions 524 to 776 of the family's 1533-position model. The record is from RNAcentral.